RNAcentral lists this long non-coding RNA (925 nucleotides) under Daucus carota (carrot). RNAcentral's name for it is "long non-coding RNA (DCAR_LNC005212)". The record is from RNAcentral. Lineage: Eukaryota; Viridiplantae; Streptophyta; Magnoliopsida; Apiales; Apiaceae.
GAAAAAAGAAUCAGCAGCUACAGGGUCUAAAGAGUAAAGAGUAUAACGUCUGUGGCGGAGGCCUCCAGGGUGCCUUAGAAACCAUCUGUAGUAAGUUGAACGCCAAACGGUGUAAGAACAAAACCGGCAUAGACAAAAAAAUCCACAUAAUUUAUUUACACAAAUGUGCUCAGCAAGCAUGCCAGCAGCCUUUGAAGUUCCAACUGUCACAAUUUACAUAACUGCAUUCCAAAAAAAAAAAACAAAGAGCAAUACAACUAAAGCAUAAAAUCAUGAUGCAAUUUCACUAUGAUACAGUAGAACCUGAUGCUCUAGAUUAAAGCAAUAUAGGUUUUUAAUUCAGUAGAUAUAUUGUUAUACCGGCAUCAGCUUCAGAAUUACUAAGCCUGAGACAUAUUACCAUUUUCAGAAUGAUCCGAGGCCAGCGCAGUCCUAAAUAUUAUGCUCCUUAUUUUCUUUUUAUAGCCUCUUAAUCGUCAGGUGUAAACAUUGCUUCAGCAUUGCUCCCAAUAUCAGGGCUCUGCUCCAAAUGACCGUUUUAAUUAUAAUGGAGAAAGCCUCUCAGAACAGCAAAAACAUCACCUUCUUGAAGAACCCCCCUGAAGAGCUGAUCCUUUGUAUCAAUAAAUCCAUCAGGCCCUAGGAUGAUAAUGUGGCACGCUGGAUCACAAGGUCAUCCAUAUAUAAGUCAAUUCUAGCCACAGAUAAGCCCUGAAGUAGCUAGACAGUGACCAUAAUAUUAUUACUGCUUAUUUUAAUACCAAAAAUUUUAUAUACUCAUGUCUCCCACUCUUAACUUUAUAUCUGAGAGGAAAAUGUCCUUCAGGCUAAUUGCAAGGGCGGAUCUACGAACGUGCACGGAUAUGUGGAUGUAAAUUUUCCUCCUAAAUAAGAAGGCAACCAGGAGCAUAAUAGUAUGUUUUCA